UCAAUAUUGGGCCUUAUGGGCCUCACUUACAGGCACCCAAUGCUUCGUUGGGCUGGAAAAGCACACACUUUUUGGUACUGUCAGGGAUAGAAAUGUAAGAACGACAUCGUUAUCGUAAAGUAUAUAUAGGUCUUCGCUGGAGAGCUUUUCAAUCUUCACCUCAUCUCAUCGCAUCGAAUUGAGGUUGGCGCUUAGUUUGAGUUUUGCUGCUAUAGAGAUUUGAUGGGAGAUUGAUGAAUUUCUCUUUACGUUGGAUUCGAAGUCGUACGACAAAGUUGCGGAUGUAUGCGAUAACCUAAUGCUUCAGGUUGCAGCUGAUGACAUUGCUUACAAGGACGAUUCGCCCUACGCCAUUCACCUCCUCGCUCACUUUUAUGUUCAUGACAUCAACAGUGCGCGCUUUCUUUGGAAAUCGAUACCUUCGUCAAUCAAAGAAAGCCAGCCUGAAGUCACCGCGGUUUGGAAAAUCGGUUAGAAGCUCUGGUUACUUGACUAUGCUGGAGUGCACAAGGCAAUCCGUGGCUUUGAUUGGAGUCAGGAUGUCCAAGGUCUAGCUGCUGCAUUUUUAGGCAAAAUUUUAAAAACCUGUUGUACGAGUCUAUUCACUUUGUCACUUCGAAUGUCUUCUAAACAAUCCAACUGUAUAUAUGUAAAUUAUGUUGUGUUUGAGACGAAAGCUUUUAUCCAAGGUCAUAACUUCAUAAAAAAUGUUGUCCUCACUUUAUUAUAAUCCGUUUCAUGUUAAUUUUAUUGAAUGUUAAUUAUAGACUACGUGUUAUACUUUCUGGGUCGGGAAAUUGGUGAAGAGUCUAUGUGUGGAUCAAUUAAUUUGUUUAAAGUAUUAUUGGUUUUAUGUAACACUAUGCAUUGUUAUUUUUGCUGUGAGAUUUCCGUAAUGGUUGAAAGCACUGGGACCGUAUAAUUAUUAGUUUGGAGAGAACAAAAUGUAUUAUAUUUUAAACCUCGAAAAAUUAAAAAUGUUUUGGUUGGACUUUCCUUACCCCCUACACAUAUAACAUGAAAAUAUGUUUAUGUAGACGAAUGUUGUAAUUUCUUGGGCUAACGUGUACCGAAGAUAGAGGAUGUAUAGAUAUUGCAUAAAAGUAGUGAAGUAGUAAUGUAUUGUGCUCCUUCACAAUAACUUAUGUUUUGUUUUAUUAAAUAUGCUUCUUUGUUUUAUAUUGCUUUCCAAAUAGCUUUGUGCACCUAUAUCUGGUGUUUAGUACGAUAAAAAUGUUAACACCAAUAAAAUUUUCCAAAACUUUACACAAGGGAGAUGUUUCAGCUGCUUUUCUCUGCUUAUUCAACAAUAAGCAUUAAAGACACUGCUUUAUUUCUGGGAAUGAUUGAAGAUGAUGCUACAAACUAUGUACUACAACAAGGCUGGACUGUCGACCCUGCCUCUCAGAUGCUUAUUGUAAAGAAACAACCUGUUUUGACCGCGCAGAACCUUGAUCAUAGUAAAUUGCAGGGAUUGACCGAAUAUGUCUUCCAUCAUAAGCAUCGAAGCUUUUAGUUAUGAAGAAUUAGAUGUUUCAUUUUAUAUGAAAUUCUUCUCAAAUUGAUCAAUCAAACGUUCUAUGUUCUUGAAAGUGAAUGUAUACUGUUGAUAAUUUUGUAGCUAAUCUCUAUGUUUUUUAAUUUUAGCACCGAUUGGUGAAAUUCACGUCUCACUUGAUAGUUUUUCGACAAUUCUCUC
Long non-coding RNA from Vigna angularis (adzuki bean), 1699 nucleotides. RefSeq lists it as uncharacterized. The transcript is spliced from 5 exons. The record is from RefSeq and is a predicted model, not a curated record. Lineage: Eukaryota; Viridiplantae; Streptophyta; Magnoliopsida; Fabales; Fabaceae.